RNAcentral lists this ribosomal RNA (400 nucleotides) under uncultured bacterium. RNAcentral describes it as "bacterial SSU rRNA". It matches the Rfam family "Bacterial small subunit ribosomal RNA", at positions 355 to 774 of the family's 1533-position model. The record is from RNAcentral.
UUAGGAAUCUUCCACAAUGGGCGAAAGCCUGAUGGAGCGACGCCGCGUGAGGGAUGAAGGCCUUAGGGUUGUAAACCUCUAAAAGAGGGACGAUAAUGACGGUACCUCUUGAGUAGCACCGGCUAACUCCGUGCCAGCAGCCGCGGUAAUACGGAGGGUGCAAGCGUUAUCCGGAAUCACUGGGCGUAAAGGGCGCGUAGGCGGUCUGUUAAGUCCGAUGUUAAAUCCCGGGGCUCAACCCCGGAUAAGCGUUGGAUACUGGCAGGCUAGACGGUUGGAGAGGCGAGUGGAAUUACCAGUGUAGCGGUGGAAUGCGUAGAUACUGGUAGGAACACCCAUUGCGAAGGCAGCUCGCUGGACAACACGUGACGCUGAGGCGCGAAAGUGUGGGGAGCAAACC